AGGAUAAACGCUGGCGGCGUGCCUAACACAUGCAAGUCGAACGCGCUUUCGGGCUUCGGUGCGAGAGCGAGUGGCGGACGGGUGAGUAACACAUGGGUACCUACCUUGGAGUGAGGGAUACCGGCGAGAAAUCGCCGACAAUACCGCAUAGGCUUCUUCACAAGGGAAGCAAAGUGACGCGAGUCACGCUGUGAGAUGGGCCUGUGGCCGAUUAGCUAGUUGGGGGGGUAACGGCUUCCCAAGGCGACGAUCGGUAGCUGGUCUGAGAGGACGAUCAGCCACACUGGGAUUGAGAACGGCCCAGACUCCUACGGGGGGCAGCAGUGAGGAAUUUUCCGCAAUGGAGGCAACUCUGACGGAGCAACGCCGCGUGCAGGAGGAAGGUUUUCGGAUCGUAAACUGCUUUUCGUCGGGGACGAGCAAGGACGGUACCCGAGGAAGAAGCCCGGCUAACUACGUGCCAGCAGCCGC
RNAcentral lists this ribosomal RNA (471 nucleotides) under uncultured bacterium. RNAcentral's name for it is "SSU rRNA". It matches the Rfam family "Bacterial small subunit ribosomal RNA", at positions 26 to 518 of the family's 1533-position model. The record is from RNAcentral.